This 429-nucleotide ribosomal RNA is filed under the name Pseudarthrobacter scleromae. RNAcentral's name for it is "bacterial SSU rRNA". It matches the Rfam family "Bacterial small subunit ribosomal RNA", at positions 23 to 454 of the family's 1533-position model. The record is from RNAcentral. Lineage: Bacteria; Bacillati; Actinomycetota; Actinomycetes; Micrococcales; Micrococcaceae.
CUCAGGAUGAACGCUGGCGGCGUGCUUAACACAUGCAAGUCGAACGAUGAUGGGAGCUUGCUCCUGGAUUAGUGGCGAACGGGUGAGUAACACGUGAGUAACCUGCCCUUAACUCUGGGAUAAGCCUGGGAAACUGGGUCUAAUACCGGAUAUGACUCCUCAUCGCAUGGUGGGGGGUGGAAAGCUUUUUGUGGUUUUGGAUGGACUCGCGGCCUAUCAGCUUGUUGGUGAGGUAAUGGCUUACCAAGGCGACGACGGGUAGCCGGCCUGAGAGGGUGACCGGCCACACUGGGACUGAGACACGGCCCAGACUCCUACGGGAGGCAGCAGUGGGGAAUAUUGCACAAUGGGCGCAAGCCUGAUGCAGCGACGCCGCGUGAGGGAUGACGGCCUUCGGGUUGUAAACCUCUUCAGUAGGGAAGAAGCGAA